Molecule: ribosomal RNA, 1542 nt
Filed under: Isopoda sp.
Lineage: Eukaryota; Metazoa; Arthropoda; Malacostraca; Isopoda
Description: SSU rRNA
Rfam family: Eukaryotic small subunit ribosomal RNA
Source: RNAcentral
GAUCCAUUGGAGGGCAAGUCUGGUGCCAGCAGCCGCGGUAAUUCCAGCUCCAAUAGCGUAUAUUAAAGUUGCUGCGGUUAAAAAGCUCGUAGUUGGAUCUACUAAACCUAUUCGUGGGUGAGUCGCUCUUUGUACUAACGAAUCGCGCGGUUCCUUGACGAAGUUGUUUGUCAGUGUUAACGUUUCUCGGUCCUUCGGGCCCGAGAGCCUAACCGACUCGAACCGAGUCUCUGUGGACGGUGAAUCGUGGUUAUAAGGGUAUAGCUCGCUCGCGUUUGGUACAAUUAAAAUUUUGUCGGCUCGCUCGGAGUGCUCUUUACCGAGUGUUCCAGGGUGGCCGACACGUUCACUUUGAAAAAAUUAGAGUGCUUAAAGCGGGCCUUUCGAAAGGGCUUAAAUGUCUGUGCAUGGAAUGAAGUAACAGGACCUCGAUUCUGUUGUUUUUGUCGGUUUUAAUGAACCGAGGUAAUGAUUAAAAGGGACAGACGGUGGCAUUAGUAUUGCGACGCUAGAGGUGAAAUUCUUGGACCGUCGCAAGACUAACUACUGCGAAGGCAUUUGCCGAGAAUGUUUUCGUUAAUCAAGAACGAAAGUUAGAGGAUCGAAGGCGAUCAGAUACCGCCCUAGUUCUAACCCUAAACUAUGCUAACUAGCGAUCCGCCGGAGUCAUUCCCACGACCCGGCGGGAAGCCCCAGGGAAACCAAAGUCUUUGAGUUCCGGGGGAAGUAUGGUUGCAAAGCUGAAACUUAAAGGAAUUGACGGAAGGGCACCACCAGGAGUGGAGCCUGCGGCUUAAUUUGACUCAACACGGGAAACCUCACCAGGCCCGGACAUCAGAAGGACUGACAGGUUGAGAGCUCUUUCUCGAUUCGAUGGGUGGUGGUGCAUGGCCGUUCUUAGUUGGUGGAGUGAUCUGUCUGGUUGAUUCCGAUAACGAACGAGACUCUACCUUACUAACUAGUCGGCGGAUCGUAACCCUGAGAUGGUUAGUGUGUAUACGAGAGUGUCAUUGCCUAGGCAUUAUUUUCUCCAUCGAGGGGGGUCGUAAAACUAGACUAGUCGUUUUAUACGAUGAAAAUGGUUCGCUGCGUCUCUUUUUGGUCGGGAGAUUUUUUGUCGAAGCUGCUCUCUGAUUACUACUGCUGCUGGGGGCGUCCGUCGCAAUAUAUCUUCUUAGAAGGAUCAGCGGCGUAUAGCCGUACGAGAAAGAGCAAUAACAGGUCUGUGAUGCCCUUAGAUGUUCUGGGCCGCACGCGCGCUACAAUGUAAGGACCAGCGUGUUUUCCCCCUCCGAAAGGAACGGGUAACCCGUGGAAAGCCCUACACGAUUGGGAUUGGGGAUUGCAAAUAUUUCCCAUAAACGAGGAAUUCCCAGUAAGCGCAAGUCAUUAACUAGCGUUGAUUACGUCCCUGCCCUUUGUACACACCGCCCGUCGCUACUACCGAUUGAAUGAUUCAGUGAGGGCAUCGGACUGGCGCCUUCGGUUUUGAAACAUAGACCUUAGGCUGACGGAAAGAUGUCCGAACUCGAUCAUUUAGAG